RNAcentral lists this ribosomal RNA (450 nucleotides) under uncultured bacterium. RNAcentral's name for it is "partial 16S ribosomal RNA". It matches the Rfam family "Bacterial small subunit ribosomal RNA", at positions 354 to 796 of the family's 1533-position model. The record is from RNAcentral.
GUGGGGAAUCUUCCGCAAUGGACGAAAGUCUGACGGAGCAACGCCGCGUGAGUGAUGAAGGUCUUCGGAUUGUAAAGCUCUGUUAAUCGGGACGAAAGAGCCUAGUGUGAAUAAUGCUAGGAAGUGACGGUACCGGAAUAGAAAGCCACGGCUAACUACGUGCCAGCAGCCGCGGUAAUACGUAGGUGGCAAGCGUUGUCCGGAAUUAUUGGGCGUAAAGCGCGCGCAGGCGGAUCUGCCAGUCUGUCUUAAAAGUUCGGGGCUUAACCCCGGGAUGGGAUGGAAACUACAGAUCUAGAGUAUCGGAGAGGAAAGUGGAAUUCCUAGUGUAGCGGUGAAAUGCGUAGAUAUUAGGAAGAACACCAGUGGCGAAGGCGACUUUCUGGACGAAAACUGACGCUGAGGCGCGAAAGCCAGGGGAGCGAACGGGAUUAGAAACCCGUGUAGUCC